GGACUGUGAAGUCUAGAAAGCCUGGGUUGAGGUAUUUUGUGAAUGAUUGCAGUCUUUCAUUCAUACUGGUGCGACUAACACGAUAUGCCUUUUAAGGAACGCUGAAGAAUCUAUUCCAAGAAGGUAGGUUUUAUUUAAUUGCAAUUGUUAAUUGAACAGCUUUUUUGUGCAUCUGAAGCAUCAUCUCCAAAUCAAGGCAUCCAGGAGAGGAAACAAUGAAGACUGCCCAUCCAACUUUACCUUGCUUCCCUCUCGCCUCAGCCUGCACCUGGUAUGCUGUAGGAUCCCAGCACUUGGCCUUUCCUCAGACAAGCCCAGCAGGAUACGCAACUGGGGGCAGCUUUUUGGUACUCGAUAUUCUCCUCCUCAUUCAGAAUCACCCCCAGGGCUCCCUUACUACGCACCUUUCAGCGCCACUUGAAGACAGUCAAGAGUAUCUGUAUGGAUUUUCCAAGGAUAUUCACAGAAUCAUAGAAUCAUUUGAGUUGGAAGGGAUCCUUAAAGGCCAUCUGAUCCAACUCCCCUGCAAUGAACAGGGACACCUACAGCUAGAUAAGAUUGCUCAGAGUCCCAUCCAGCCUGACCUUGAGUGUCUCCAGAGGCAGGCCAUUCACCACAUCUCAACUCACCGUGUUCACCACUGGGUGAUCCAUGGUCAUCCAUGGGUCUCCCACAUUACUUUUCCUACACUGUAAGAUGCAUUAAUGUUCUUAGCAUGUGCUCCCACCCCUUCUCUCAAAUAGAACUGAGGCACACAGAUCAGAACACAACAUGCCCGUUAAUACAGCCUGUUUGGAGAUACACAGAGUAUUACAGACUGGGGCAUUUAGCAUCAGAGAACACUGUAAGAGUUGAAAGUCCAAAUUUGUGGGUAUUAACACUCACUGAUUUGGGAAAUUGGAGCCCCAAUGGGUUCUGCCAAGCUUCCUCAUAGUCAUGCUGGCCAGAAUCAGCAGUCCUCCUGCUAUGCCUAUGCCUGAAGCAGAUUUUCUCUACCUGAGACCCUCUUCUUUAGUCAGUGCACAUUUUGCACUCUCUUCCAGGAGAAGAGUGGCACGGCUCCUCUCACCAGCAGCUCCCCUGCCCCUUCCGGUACUGUCAUCCUGAGCAUCAAGCAAGCGCAGAAUGUUUGGGGGAAAAUGAGCUCUAUGUCAUGGUCACAAGGUGCCUUGGUGGCAACAAAGCUUUUUAGACAAGGGAGAUGACACAUUUCCGAAGAUGAUUAAUCCACUAAAGCCGCCAGAAUAGAGAUAACCUCAAAAAGGGGAACAUUAAAAAUAGAGGAAAAAAAAAAUGCUGCCAAACCCAAACCUGCUGCAGGUUCUUAUCUUCCAAACUUUUCACAUGUAAAAGUACCCUAGGAUCUGGCUGCUUUGAGACCACAUGAGUCAUAUCCUUGCUAACUGGAAUACUUAAAUUAAGCUUGUUCAGCACUUGUUACAAUGGAAGGAAGUUAGUAAUAAUAGGAAAUGGAUAGCACAGGUCUUGUUUCUUUAAACCCAUUUACUUCACUGCUUUCUUAAGUGGUCUGAAGCAAAUCUGUCACUGUAGUGGUAUGUUUAUUUUUGCUAACCUGAAAAAUAGCAAGGAAUACACUUUCUCUGUGUAACAGAUUGUAUCUGCCUAGUUUUAUAUGUGUAGAAACUCCUGCCAUCUGAGCCUUUUGCAUGCCUUUCCCUGCCCUUUUCCUGUGAAAAUUCCACUUGUCUACUCUCUUCUCUUUGAAUCACGUUGUGCUACCUGCUGUAGGGAACCUGCUUUAGCAGGGAGUUGGACUCGAUGGUCUCCAGAUGUCCCUUCCAACCUCUACAAUUCUGUGAUAUUCUGAUCCCAGAUUCCACAGUAUCCAGUGCUCAAAACAAAAUCCUGAAGGCUGCACAAGGCUGUGCUAGAUCUACUGGUCUUCAAAUUAGGCUGGAUGAACUGAUCAUGCCAGACAUUGAUAUUCCAGUUCCUGUUAAUGGGGCUAUUGAACACACCCCAAAAAAUGCAGGUAUACUUUAAAGAGUAAGAAAUGUAUUUAAGGGCAGGGAGAUUUUACUGUCUUAAUCACUUCAACACCUUCAGCUUCCACUGGAAGAUUUUUGUCUCUUAGGAUCAAAAGAGAGCUUUAGCAGUACUUUCUUGCAGUUAUUCUACUGGUGCAGUGCUGGACAGAAGGAUUAUACGACUCUUCUUCAAACUACAGGCUGCUGACUGAGAAGUCUUCUAAACCAAUUAAUUUGGAAUAAUUACUUUCUCACUCUUUAUGAGGUUCUUAAAGGGGAGGCACAGUGAACACAUUAGUAAGUAACCAGCAUAGUAAGAGCAGAUAAACCUUUUCCUUGGGAAAUUUUAGCACUUGUGAAAGAAAGGUACUGCCUACCCUAUUUGGACUUGGGCCAGAAGCGGCACAGACAGACAGUGUACAAACUCAGACAGCUCUAUUAAUGAAUGCCAGCCCUGAUUUGAUAAGGCUGCUCGCAAGCAUGGUUUUCAUGCUGCUGUCUAAUAAAACUCAAGCAGCAUAGAUUUAUUUGUUUAUUUAUUCAUUCAUUCAUUUAUUGCAGAGAUUUAGCUUUGCUGUUGAAGAAAGCAGAGAAGAGUUAAGAUCAAAGUAAACUCAUUUCUGUAGUCCAGACUCUAGGACCUCCCUUCCUUGCCCUGAGGUAGUAAAAUUGCCCUCUUCUGAGUCAGCAGAACCUACUUAUUCCCUUCCCAUCAGGAUCAACACCUGUUUACAGGGUAGGGUGAUGUUUCAGGCAAAUACUACCAGCCUGCCACAGAGAUCUAAAAUUAGAGUACCAGGGAAUUGCUAAAUGUUAUGAAUGGUGUGGUUUACGAAGCUUACAAAGGAUGAGGACAGUAACUAACAUUUGCUUCUGAUCUAAUCCAGGAUUUGAACUUAGCUCUCAGAGGUUAAAGAACACCGUACUAAGCUCUUGCACCAUCUAGCCUUUGUUAUGGAUGCCUAAUAAAUAGAUUUAUCAUUGUGUAAUCUGUGUUUGCUGUUAAUGGUUACCCCAUGUUUAAAUAUUAACAGCACUUGUAAGGUGUUUUCUAAAAUGGUGUUGAGGUACUUGAAGCUUUGAGACAAUCUGCAACCUGCACUUUAAGUGUUCUUUUCUGGGGAGGGGCUAGGGUGGGAAGGGAAGCCCAGCGUGAUUUGCAUCAUAAACCAAUAAACCAUAAGCAAUAACAGAGAAGGAAAAAAAAAAAAAGAAAAGAAAAUCAGCAUGAUCUUAGGGAAAUCAUUGCUUUAGUCCUGGUCUUAAUGACUGCCCAUGCAAAGAACAGAAUUACUUUAUAGUAAUAUUCACAAUGAAUAAAUACCAAAAAAAAACUAACAGACGAAGCAGAUAUUCUUAUCUACAGACAAAUCUAUUGGCAGAGAGAUAAACCAGACUCAAGGAAAACAGCUUCCACAGUGCAAAGACACAGGCUUGUCUCUCUGCAGCUGUGAACAAUGUAUUCGGGAUCAUACACGUGGUACAAUGCACGUUUUCCUGGCUGACGUGUUCUGCUGGCCAUAAGGUCAUUUACUUUUCCCAUAUUUGACAUGGCUUUCACGUCAGGAGGAAUCACGAGACCCCCGUAUGAUAAGUGCUGACUGAGGAGACUAACCUUGCACGUUUAAAGUCCAGUGACUAAUUUUUAAACUGUGAGAUGGCCUGUUUUACUGUAAAUAAAGCUAUUUCUCAAAUACCAGCAGAUAAAAGGUACGUAUUUCUUACUACAACAGGGCAAGGUGUGGUUUCUCUUUAUAUUUGAAAAGCUAUAGUUUCUACUGAUUCGGCAAAUUGACAAGUAUUUUGGAUGUAUGUAAGUUAAUGAAAAAUCAAGUCUAGAAUGAAAAAAAUAGUAAGAUAAAAGGUUGUUUCUAUGCCUUAACACCAGUCUUUUUCUGCAGUACCUGGAAGUCUGAAGAGGACUUUUCUUAACAGCAUAGUGAAAGUCACACCAAAAAGCGUGCCUGGAGGAACCCCUUGAAUUUGAGACGUUAGAAACACUCCAAGGUCACAGUAACACAUUAAAGCACAUAGAAAGCUCGCACAAAAUCCAGUGGACAUCUCCACUGCAUAUCUACUGUAACGUGCGUAAAGGAAGGAAAAACAGUCAUAACCAUGGCAAAGAAGAAGAGUGAUCCUAAACCAGGUGGUGGUCGAGCUAUAUUUUCUGGACAGUUAUAUUCGAAUUGUCUGGGGGAGGAAAAAGAGAAAACCAGCCAGAGCUAAGAAUAUAAGGUAUAGCUAGCAACCAUGGCAACUCUAAUAUUUAACUACAUAAUCCAGGGUCAUUAUCUAGUAAUAGCAAUAUAACAAGUGCUCAAAAUAACCAGCUAUCCCAUCCCUUUCACCCAAACUUAGAUAGCCAAAAACAUCUGUUAUGGAAAUACAUGUGUGUUUCUGGAACAUAAAUUAAAUAACAUUCUGUGACCUAAAUGUGGUGUGUUCUCACUUCCCCACCCUUUUCUUUCUUUUUGAUCAUGUCUCCCAUUCCAGACUGAUUUUGUCCCUCCUACUUUGUACUGCUGGCAUAAAAGGGAAGAGUCUGAGUGAAGAUUGCAAAAAGAGCUAUGAUGAAUUAUAUUAGCAAAGCAAAUCUAUUUAACGCUCUCUUAAAUUCUUUCAAUUUCUUGCUUCCUUUUGUCUUUAUACUUCACUCUACCUUCUCACAUGCUUUGCCCUCUGAUUUUUCCAUUUUUGAACCUGAAACCUCCCUUUCACAUUUCCCAUUUUCUUAUGAAAUAGUUGCCAUCUUCUCUCUCGCUCCUAGUCUAGUAGAUUCUCUUUCCAUCUGUACUGCACACAAAAGAGAGGAGCAAAUAAGCUCUGUUCUAGCCCUGAAGAAAAGCAAUCCCAGUCAUUUCACACUACUGCCUUCCAGUACUCCAUCCACACACUACAAGGAGAGUUGAGUCAAACUAAGAAUUGAAAACCAUUGAAAAGUUUCAAAAAGAGUAAAUAUUUGUUGACUAUUUUAAAAUAAUUUGAUUCAUCUUUCUAUUUCUUAAAGAUGCUUCCUUUAGAAGUUUACCUAUGUGUUAUUUCUUUAUAUAAAAGGUUACUCUGAACUUUGGAGGCUGGAAAAAAACCACCAAUCCAACACACCUCCAAUAACUCUAUUAAUAUCAGGUUGACUUUCUUUCUCCUAGCCACCAAAUUAAAAACAGAAAAAAUGUUAUUUUCUGCUGUUUGCCUGACAACCACCACCAUCAAUAGUCUGCAUGCACAGUGUUAGUAGCAGUAGGCACCACAGGUGCCGACACUGCCAGGUGGGACUCAACAUUUGAGUUCCACAGGUGAAUUGACUUGUGAAGAAGAAAUGCAGAACACCAGCAGGGCCAUCAGCCAACAGCACUUCUCACUGCCUUUGGUAAAGUUGGAAGCUGAAAAGCACAGCACAAAUUAUUUGUUCACAUUAAAAGGGACUCUUUGUCCAUUUUAUCAAAUGGAUAUUUAAAAGAAAUAGACAGGUGUAUCAAGCAAUUGUGAAUCUACACUUCCAUACAUUCAAAUUCAAAUUUAGAAAAUUAAGACACCUGUAACAUUUCCUCAUCUGCUCAUGGUUCAGAAAAAUACAAGAUCACCAUGGUUUCUAUUUGAUAAUAACUGUUCUUUAGUCUAAAAUCUCUGCAUUGCAUCAGACUUCUUUUAGAAAAGACAAAGCAUCCUUCUCUUCUGAGAAAGGAAUACUCAAUAUGCAUGUCACCCCAGCCAUCAUGAUCCCCUCUUCAUGUCUUCAGUUCAGCAUAUGAUAACCUAUGAACUUCCUUUAACUUUCUAACUGUUACUAUUGAGACAAUUUUAGAUAUAAAUCACUGAUUCCUAGACCAAAAAUUUCAUGUAUGUCUUGCUUAUCUCUCAACUCAUAACCCUUUCUACAUAGUUUCAUAUAAAAAAUAAGGUAAAUGUGUUCAGGUCAUGCAUGCUUACAUGUAUAAGGUGCAUGUAGAGGUGUAUCUCCUAGUAACAUUUUAAUCCACCUUCCAACUUCAACCAAACUUUACGGGAUGACGGUGUCUCAGUUUCUCGAAGGUUUAAAAAAUAAACAUACUGCUACAGAAAAGGAAGACACCUCAAAGAGGAAAGACAGUACCCUGACCCCUCCUCCAAAGCACUAAAAGAUGGAGAUCUAUCUGGAGGAAGGGACUUUAUAAAUAGUUCCCUGGAGAAAAAGUUUCAGUUGGUACUUGCAGCUUUUUAAGCCUCAGAAUCAAAUACCUACAGUGCACCUACCAGUAGGAAAUAAGAAUCUUUGGUUCUAAUUCUUGUUGGUCUAUUUCUUUUGAUUAAACGAUUUGAAAGCUGGGGAAUGGUGCUGCACAGACAUCUUUCAUGCCUAGGCACUUCACGGCUGCGUAGCACUUGAGCAUCUGGGCCACAGAUGUGCCGUUAGGAGGCUUGUAAGAAGGAUCGUAAUAGAAUUCUAUUUGCUGCCUUAUUCAGCUGCUCUUGUAUGGUUGUAUUUUCUGGAGCAUGAAAUCUUACAUCCACAAAACAAGUUCAGCAGAGGUAGAAAUAUGGAAUCUUCCUCACGUUGUUCCACUGUUUGCAUGCUCUAGUGAAAUGAAGGAAAAUGGCAGCUUGAAGCCCUUUAAUUCAUCCAGAAUUACAACUGCUGAGAAUCUGUCUUCAGGUCUCAGAGGCUGAUUAGGACAGUUUUUGAGCUCAAGUAAACAGUUCCAUGCAUGCACCUGCCAUUUUCAAGGAGAAAAUAUUUCUAAUGUAGCUAGUACCACGGAUUGCAAAAAUGGACUCAACAUUUUUUUUUUCAUUCUUGCAAAUGCAGAACAUAUAUAUUAGUGUAGUUUUCAAGAGCCUCAAGAUAACUUUGUAAAUGUGCAGAGCUGAUUCAGGAACGCAUCAAUAACAAUAAUGAAUUUGUACUGAUGGGCUCUAAAAUGCAAUUAAUCUAAGGCUGUCAUUUGAAUUUAUGUCUGAAGUUUAGCAUCUAAAACCACCAUUUAAUAUUUUAUAUUCAGUUGGCAUUUACAGAAAGCAUAAACACAUACGGUUCCCUCUGAAUUCCCUUGGUUAUUAAAUAGACACAUAAACAGCUUAUAUUAGAUGAUCAAAUUUGACAUAUCAUUGUAAAAUUAUUUGGGCUGUAUAUCUUGUCUCUACACAUUUUUUAAAAUGCCAGUUACUUUCCAUUGGCCAAGUUGAAUUAAUGAUGAAUCAAGUGCAGUCACUGAGAUAAUGUGGUGUUAAGACUCUUCAGGUUAUCGUUUCUUCUUUUUUUAACUUCUGUGCCAAUAUGUUAGCAAUUGAAUGCUGUGCAGAUCCUGCAGUGGAAGAGGAUUCGGUACUGGGAAACCUCAACUGUUUCUGACACAUUUGGCAACAACUAACCAUAUUUUGUCUACAGCCAUCAACUCUGAUAAAGACAAGCGCCACUUUCUUACUCUACAAAGUUUGGUUUCACAGUGAUCUCUCGCUAUCGUACUUAUAAGACCACAGGAUUUCACCAGUUCCCACCCCUCAGCUUGCUUUUGCAGCUGCAGACUCCCACAGAUGCAAACGUGGCUGAACUGCGUGGUCAACUGGUGCAAGGAUUGCCGCGACAGACCUAGAGUGGUUCCUCCUCUAGUCAAAAUCCUCUCUGAUAGAGCUUUUCCAAGCCCCGUUGCUAUACUAUAAAUGUUUUUCUUCCAAACAUGUUAAGAGCUAUAGUCUUGCUUUCACCUUUAACUACAGCAAUCACUAAAACUUCAUGCAGCAUUUGGAAGAAUGGCAGUGUGGUUUUAUUUUCCCAAGAAAUCUCAGAUACCCACACAGAGGUAACUCUCCUUGAGGAAGGCAGCACUUCCUGAAGUCACCCUCAAUGUGAAUGUCAAAAUAAAAAAGCAUUUGAAGGAGAAAGUCUUCUUCGCAGUAACUGCUGUUGCUUGGGGUUUGUUGCCACUCACCCUUUUUCCUCCCUCACCGAAUUCCUUUUGUUGAGUUUCUUGUGGAAAGAAAACCCACUUUGUCAUUUAAUGGUCAUGUGAAGAUGACAGGGCUAUGAAUAGAGGCCAUACACAAAAAUUUAAAAAAGAAUUUAAAAGUCUCCCUCCAGCUUAAGCCUUUUGGAUGUGAGCACCUAAAAUGUGAAUGUACAUUGAGAUGAUACACAGAACAAUAAUUACUAACAUUGUCAAGUAAUUGAUAUCAAACUGAGGAUCCAUUAUGCUUUUCAUUAAAACAUAUAAAGUUACACUGGAAAAAAACCAACCCUAAAACUAACAAGCUAACUGCUCCAGAUGAACUAGACUGCUAUAUGACAAGGAUAAAGCGCCCCAAUGCUGUCAAUGAGGGUUUUUAAGGGACUUCUGUAUAACUGAGGGCCUAAAGCUUUGACAGCUCUGUGUCCUUACUGGUCCAAAUUAAUCCCAACCAAGGGCCCGCUGUGCUGUACUGUGGCUGUCAUGCAGAGGAAUAAGGUCAUGAAAUAUCAUCUAAGACCCUCACAUUUAGAAUGGGAUUUUACAAGGAGAAUAUACAGCAAUAAACAAUGUGGGAAAGUUACUCACUUUCUUUCUUCCAGCAGAGCAAUUUCUUUUUUCACCUCAUGAUACUCUUCUGCUAUUUUGCAGUGUUGUUUGUACACCUGCAUUGAUUCCUGAGAGUCAUGACAAGGAGGCAGAGGCUUUAUGAACAGAAGAAGAAAAAAAAAUACUGCUUUUGAAUGCAAUAUUAGGAAUGAACACAUAUUUUGAAAGAUAAAAUCGUCAGUUCAUCUCUGUGAGAAUAGAGAAAAAAGUUGAAUGCUUUGAGAAAAGCUGCUGUAUUGAAAAUACUCCUAGUGAUGGCUUUCCACAGAAGGGAAAAAAUGCUUUCCUGCACAUGAAUAUGCAUAAGCCUUCAAACUUUGUAAGGAUUUUCAGCGCUUUUCACAACAACUUUGCAAAGUAUCAUGAAAGACUGUUUAAAGAAAGAUUUCUCCCUUACCUAUUCCUUUUUCAUCUAUAGCAAAGUAAGAAUGACAGAGCUGACAGAUUGGUCCUAUCUACAAAAUACGUGAGCAUCUUUUCACUGCAGAAACUACAGAACUGAACAGAAGGGUAGUAUGAGUGUAAACUAGCCCUUAUUCUCCAAUUCCCAAAAGAAGAAUAAAAGGUACGGAAAGUUACUGACUAAACACUCUUUUUCAUAGAAGCACCACUUCUUCCAGCUUAUUAUUAAAAUGGACAAGACUGCGAAUUGAGACACUAGGGCUCAUUCACAAGGAGUUACACUGCUGACUCUGGUACAGCCAAGAUUUCCUAGUGUGUGUGACCCAGCAGUGCCUCAGUCUCUAAGUAGUUUGCUCAAUCUCUGCAUCGCUAGUUCCUGUAGAAGAGGAUAUACUUAGUUAGCAGAAAUGUUACGAAAGCAUUGGCAAAGUGUGUCCAACUUCCACAAGAGGAGCAUGUGAGAUUCAGAGUAGAAAGACAACAGUAAUGUAAAAAUCUGAUAAAAAAUACAUAGCGAUGAUAUGUAAAAGCAUUGUACCUCCUAACCUGUGUACCUUAUUAUUAUUGAUAAUAAUACAUUAUUACAGAAAGAUUUGUUGUUGUUGUUCCAGUGCAUACUAAGUACAGCAGAUUAAAUCACCCUGUCCUAGGUCUCUUCACAAGAAUUUCAACUAAAAGCUUGAAAAUACAGUGUGGUUAAGUGUCAGUGUAUUUUGUUCCUUAAAAGAGUACAACUUAAUUUGGGACUCAAGCUUGGCUGUCACAUCUUGACCACAGCACUUUCAGGAAGUGUAUUAUUUUUAAGUUAUUAGCCAUGAAUCAAUUGACUGUAAAUGAAGUCCAAAUAGCAUGCUUGAGCCACCUGUUUGAAGCAAAAGGAAGCACUUAAAAUAGUUCCCUUACUGUCCAGUUAAAGAACAUCCAAUUGCCUUUCACAAUAUAAGCAGAUUUUUAUUUCUUGCCGUUCUAUUUUGACUCUUAUUUGUAGCGUAAUAUUCCUUCAAGUGCAUUCUUAGAAAAAGAAAAGCACAAGUCUUCAGACAUUUCCUAUCUAUGACCUCGCAAUCUCGUGUUCUAGCUAAACUGGAAAUACAUAUUUUAUCAAACAUAUUCAGAGAUAAACGUUAAAAAUGCUUUUAUCCAAGAGCCAGAGUGUGCUGGCUUGAGAUGCACACCAGUGCAAAAAUCUAACUAAUGUAUGGACCUCUGAAAGUAUUUGCAGAUGGUAUGCAGUUCCGCAUUGAAAAUUUAAAACAGAUAGUCAAUUUCCAUGUUCCAAAUGUAAGAAAUGCCACAGCAGAAUAGUUUUCAUGGCACGGUUCUGAGCUUGGAGAAUUUGGGACCCCAGGGAAAGGGCUGUCCAUUACUUGGUGAAUGUGGUCCUAGGAAUGGGCUUUUAAUUGCAUUUCAAUGUGGAUGAGCAAUAGCGCCAUUCAUAUAGUCACCCAAAUAAUAACCACAAAUUUAACAGGACAGAAUAUAGAAGUCUCGGCGCUCUAAUCCAAGAAUGCAAGGGUGAGCCAAAGUAGCAUCUCUGGUAUCUACCAGAGAUCAGCAAACAACAAAUGCAUCAUAAUAAAACAAUCUGGAACUAUACCCAGUGGGGGAAAGUCCCCAGAGUGAUGCUUCAAAGAAGAAGAAACCUGCUUUUGCUUUCAGCAUAGUUUCCGCAAAACUAUCUGGUUUAAAUCAGUUUAAAAAUUAAAGCAGCAUUCAGUUUCUGUAUUCCAGCUUCCCACUCAAAAGAUAUAUUUAGAGAGUUAAAAUUAUCUAGUCAUGCUGAGACUUAAUAUCUAAUUCCCACUUAGAACCAGUUGCUGGCUUUCAAACUCCUACCAUUGUUUCCUCUUCAGUGUCAUUUAUUCUUACAUUGAUAUUUUAUCACUCAAAAUAAACAGACAAUGAAAGAUACCGUUUGCUGGUAUUCUGUUCACACAAUUCUGUUUCAGUGUUGAUGGCUGCUCUUUCGAACUAAAGCAAUAACUUUAUUUCUAAUUGUGAAAAGGUACCUAUUUGGUACAUCAAAAUUAAGACAGUGAUUUUACUUUAAAGUGUAGAUUUGAUAAUGUUUUUGUAUGGCUGGAUAUUUCAGUUUGCUCUUUGGUAAAACUGACAUUUCUAAGAAUGGUUUUGCAGAUAAUACCUACAAUUCCUAUGAGUAGUUUCUGGGCUGUGGUACAUAAAACACAGGCUUAUGCAUCAUUAUUUAACAAGCACUGUACUGUAAUCACAACAGACGUAGAGGAGCAACACUCUGUUGUUUUGCUGCUCACCAUAACAGACGAAGCAACACAUAAGCACAGGGAUAUUAUUUUAGCCAUAUUUAAACAGCCUACUUUUUGACAUAAACAAGAGUGCAGAGAAUUAAUGAUUCAUCUGUUCCCACGAAAAUAAGCGUUUUCAGAAGAUGGCAGGGCAAACUCCUGAAAAAAAAAAAGCUCAGAAAGAUGUGAAGCUCACUUGUUCCAAAGGGGUACCUCCGAAUUGGCAGACAUUUACAGUGUUGGCAUACUUCCUUAGAAAAGAAACGAAUAACAGUAAUGUAGCAGUUACUGGACUUGCCCAUGAUCAUCUAAACAAGACUGGGAGGAAUGUGCAAAAAUCUGAAUCCAGCCCCAUGUUAUCAGAAUCAAAUUCUGCAGUCCAUGGGCUUGUCACGUUGUUAGAGCAGCUCAGGUCCCCUGCCUCAGCCAAGGGUCUGCCCCAGGGCCUCACCAAGAUUAGAAAUUAUUCUGUUAUUUCCAGUUCCAUUUUGCUGAAGAUAAGUUUGCGGGUUUUUUUAUUACGCCAGCACUGGCUUUCAUUCAAAUGGUGCUCCUUUAUCCUGCCUAUUCUACCCCUGUGAUGUGCUUACAGAGAGCUCUCAUGCACUUUCCAACCGUACAUCCAAGCUGCACUCCUCCAAUCCUUCCCAAAGCUUUUUCCUCUAGCUUGUCCUAGCAGUCUCUGCUCCCUGUUCCACCUCCAGUGCCUGCAACCAGGCCACAUGAAGCCUUACAGUGCCUACCCAGAGGGCAGUCCUCUGGCAGAGAACUGGCAUCCCCAUUCUAAUCCAUGAAGCCUGUAUGCUAUUUUUUGGUAAGAGCUCUCUAGCUUCCAUAGGUGACAAAUGACAGAAGUCCUUAAAAAAGCUCAAUUUACAGUAUGGGUUUUUUUUCAGUCCGAUACUUCAGGAAGUAUCUUGCCAGUCCAUAAUUAAUAUAUAUAAAAGCAUACCUGCUACAUAAGCAAAAAAAGCUCCUGCCAAAUAAAGUUAUAUUUAAUGGCAACAGUUGCUACUUUUAAUCCUGCUUAUUUCAGGCUUCAGUGUCAUCCACCCUCAUUUUCCUGUGUUGGCAAAAUAUGCGCACACAGCAUCUCUGAUUUGGUUCUCAAAGCUAUGACAAAACCUGUAGCUUUCAGAGAUACUGUUGGUCGCCAUCCCUACUUUUCAACAAGGUCUGAUUUUCCUUGUAUUUCAUGGAAUGACUCACCUUGACAAACUUUCUACAGAACCCAGCAAACAGACACUAAGAGAUCCUGUUUCAGGUUAUUCUGUUACUUCACAUAGGUACGUACAUCUAUAGAGGAUGGCAGCAACUGCAACUCUUCAAGCAAUUUCAGACAGGUAGUCCAGGAUAUAUCUAGUCUAGUCUACUUUUACUAUGGAAAUAAGCAGCUAUCUUUCUUUCAAACAAAUCAGGUCAGCUGGAUGGAAGCAACUGAGAGUUCUGCUUUUGUUGCCUGAGAGAUCUUCUAUACUUUUCCAUCAUAGUGUGAUGCUUUGGCUUUGCCAACAUCCAUGCCAUACAAAAUCUAAAAGUGAAGUUAUUGCAGCAGUGUUACGGGAGACUUAGCAAGUUCAUUGGCAAUCAAAUCUAAUUAUAGAGUACCAAAGUACUAUAGCAAUUCUCUUGGAAUUUAGUACUUUUAAUACAGAGCAAACUUUUUAAAACUUCUGUACAUUUUUUAACUUUCUAAAAUGCUUUUUUAUUUGUGUACCAGUGGUCUUGGCAGUCAGCAGAAGCAAUGGUUCCAUUAUUCAGUUUCCAGGCAGAAUAAACAAGGUUUCUGAUAAAUGCUUGUGUCACAUUCAAACUGUCCUUCUUGCAACGUUUUCCUCGCUUCCUACCUCUUCCACUUUCCUACUAAAGCAUAAAAAACUACCCCUUGACUUAACAAGCUGAUAUCAUGAACAGUUGGAGUCUUUUCUCUGCCACAGGAAAUUUUAUGGUCAUCCAACUCUACUGAUUUCAGGAGAUUUAUCAUACAAAAUGUGAUACAAAUGCUUGACCAAGCUCGUAAUUUCAUGAAGGAUUAGGAGUUACAGAGCGCUCUGUAUAUCUGUACGAGAUUUGUGUUCUUCCCUAUUUAAAAUCAAACACCCAGAUGGAAUAAAGAGUUUCUUGGAGAACAUGAAGAUGAACCACAGGAAAUGCUGGAGCAGGACAGACAGCAGACAGGGCCUAGCAAUUUAAGUUUUUAACACCAGAUACAUUCAUCUACAUUCUGUGACCUGAGCAGCAAGGCCUUACAUGCUGAUAUAGAUGUCUAAAUAUAGACAAAACCAGUAGUGAAAUGUUUGUCAGAGAGGCCACCACCACUGUGCAGCUAAUCAAGGCCUGGUUUAGCUCUGACACAAGGCAAAACACUUCCCAACAACAAACUAACAAAUGCAGCAAGCCUAGCCUCUCUUCACCUCUGACUAUUCUGCUUGUACAAUGGGAAUGGAAGAACACAAACCCAAAGCCCGAAUAAGCAAGUGCUUUAUCCUCAAAGUGUUGCUUUUCAGUGGGAAGAUAAGACAUUCCAAUACUGCAAACAAAGGAAAGCCAAAUUAAAAACUUAUUAACAUGAGUUGGUUUCAUUUAAGCAUAUAAAGAACUUCUUUAUAUUAACGAAACUCCAAAAAAAGAUUAAGCUUUUCUUGUCUAUAAACUGCUCUGUUCUCAUAUAUAGAGCUAUUGUGUCUGGCCAUACACAAUACUUGUUUUUUUUUUUAAAGGCCAAGAAAUAAGAACAAAACUUUUGAAUUAGAGAACUGGUAUCAUUUUCUUACGUAUUACUUCUUGAAACAUUUUCCUCUCACAUUAGUGGAAAAAGUAACAUUCAGAAAGGUCAUUGGGGAAGAUGAUAUUUUUGUCUGAACGUACCUAGUUGAUCUGAACACUGGAUUGAUCAUUUUUAUUCUUCAGAAAGUAGCUCUGACUUUCAAUUAGUUUCUCCUUUCAUAAGAGUUCUUACAGAGCAUAAAGUAUUUGCAGUUGGCCUCCUAGAAAUACCCUUCCUCCAGCCAAUCCUACCUCCACCUCUGCAUAGCUGGCAGCAGUGCUUGGACAGCAGGCACGAUCACCCUGCCAGGGGUGGCCACACUGAACUCUGCCCUGCCAUCUGACACCAGUGCCCGGCCAGGAGGCAUGGCAGGACUGUGGGAGGAGAAGUGGGAACACUAGGUAAUUCUGCUUAAACAGCCAAGAUGACUGCCAGGGACGAAGAUAGAAAGGCAAGGGCUAGAAGCCCAAAAGAGAGGUGCAAAUUGCUUGGUACUCAGGCUGUGGUCUGCCGCCUGCAUGCAUAAAAUACUAAGGCACUGAUUUUCCAAGUGGCUUGGUGAGCUUACAUAUCUUUCAAGCUGCUUUCAAAGUCUAACCUGAAGAUCAGUUAAUGUGGGCUCUUCUUUUUAAAGGUUUCAAGGCCUCACCAGUUUUUAAAAGUACACAGAAAGUCUUUUUUCUUUUUUUCUUUUUUGUUUAAAGUUCCUAGUGUUGUAUAGACACCUACCUAUAGUUUUUUUUCUUUAAAUAAAAUACUAAUGCUUUUGACUGCAAUUACAGCAUGGUGAUGAAAAUCUCA
This is a long non-coding RNA of Gallus gallus (chicken), 14749 nucleotides long. RefSeq lists it as uncharacterized. NCBI's taxonomy places the organism in Eukaryota, Metazoa, Chordata, Aves, Galliformes, Phasianidae. The record is from RefSeq and is a predicted model, not a curated record. The transcript is spliced from 2 exons.